RNAcentral lists this ribosomal RNA (436 nucleotides) under Loxosceles sp. CRBA-LX2154. Its description in RNAcentral is "partial 16S large subunit ribosomal RNA". It matches the Rfam family "Bacterial large subunit ribosomal RNA", at positions 1817 to 2600 of the family's 2925-position model. The record is from RNAcentral. RNAcentral also lists the same sequence under 1 other name. Lineage: Eukaryota; Metazoa; Arthropoda; Arachnida; Araneae; Sicariidae.
CACUCUCUGUAAUAAUAGAAAGCAAUUCCUGCUCCAUGCCUAUAAAUAGCCGCAGAUAUCCUGUGCUAAGGUAGCACAAUCACUUGCCUUUCAAUUGGAGGAUCGUAUGAAAGGAUCCAUGACUUUUCCACUCUAUCUUAUGCUCUUUACAAAAUUUACUUAUAAGUAAAAAGGCUUAUAUUCCAAGGAAGGACGACAAGACCCUAUAGAACUUUACAAAUCGUUAAACUGGGGUGGUUUACAACAAAAUCUUGCCUGCAACUUUCCUACCAAGACCUGAUAACAUCAAUCAUAAGAACAAGUUACCUUAGGGAUAACAGAGAAAUUUCCUCUUAGAUGAUCUUUAAAAGGAAGAUUUCGACCUCGAUGUUGAAUUAAUAUAACUUCAUAACAAAAUGUUAUCCAAGUUGGUCUGUUCGACCACCAAGAUAUUACA